CAGUCGCCGCGGGAAUACGGAGGGUGCAAGCGUUAAUCGGAAUUACUGGGCGUAAAGCGUGCGUAGGCGGUUCGUUAAGUCUGUUGUGAAAGCCCCGGGCUCAACCUGGGAAUGGCAAUGGAUACUGGCGAGCUAGAGUAUGGCAGAGGGGGGUAGAAUUCCACGUGUAGCAGUGAGAUGCGUAGAGAUGUGGAGGAAUACCGAUGGCGAAGGCAGCCCCCUGGGCCAAUACUGACGCUCAUGCACGAAAGCGUGGGGAGCAAACAGGAUUAGAUACCCGUGUAGUCCCUGUCUCUUAUAC
Molecule: ribosomal RNA, 301 nt
Filed under: uncultured bacterium
Lineage: Bacteria
Description: partial 16S ribosomal RNA
Rfam family: Bacterial small subunit ribosomal RNA
Source: RNAcentral